UACGAAGGGUGCAAACGUUGCUCGGAAUUAUUGGGCGUAAAGCGCACGUAGGCGGCUUUGCAAGUCCCAUGUGAAAGCCCACGGCUUAACCGUGGAAGUGCAUGGGAAACUGCAGAGCUUGAGUACUUAAGAGGAUCGCGGAAUUCCCGGUGUAGAGGUGAAAUUCGUAGAUAUCAGGAGGAACACCGGUGGCGAAGGCGGAUCUCUGGGCCGAUACUGACGCUGAGGAGCGAAAGCGUGGGGAGCGAACAGG
RNAcentral lists this ribosomal RNA (253 nucleotides) under uncultured bacterium. Its description in RNAcentral is "partial 16S ribosomal RNA". It matches the Rfam family "Bacterial small subunit ribosomal RNA", at positions 524 to 776 of the family's 1533-position model. The record is from RNAcentral.